UGGAUCCAGACUUUGAUUCUGGCUCAGGAGAAACGCUGGCGGCGCACAUAAGACAUGCAAGUCGAACGGAACUUAGUCGAAUGUUUACAUGAGACGAAAGUUUAGUGGCGGACGGGUGAGUAACACGUGAGCAACCUGCCUUUAAGAGGGGGAUAACAUUGAGAAAUCAGUGCUAAUACCGCAUAAAGCAUAUCUACCGCAUGAUAAGAUAUGCCAAAGGAGAAAUCCGCUUAAAGAUGGGCUCGCGGCUGAUUAGUUAGUUGGUGGGGUAACGGCCUACCAAGACGAUGAUCAGUAGCCGAGCUGAGAGGCACAACGGCCACAUUGGGACUGAGACACGGCCCAGACUCCUACGGGAGGCAGCAGUCGGGAAUAUUGCACAAUGGGGGAAACCCUGAUGCAGUGACGCCGCGUAUAGGAAGAAGGUCUUUGGAUUGUAAACUAUUGUCGACAGGGAAGAAAAAAAUGACAGUACCUGUGGAGGAAGCCCCGGCAAACUACGUGCCAGCAGCCGCGGUAAUACGUAGGGGGCGAGCGCUAUCCGGAUUUAUUGGGUGUAAAGGGUGCGUAGACGGUUAUGCAAGUUGGUUGUGAAAUCCCGGAGCUCAACUUCGGAACUGCAACCAAAACUGUAAAACUUGAGUGCGGGAGAGGAAAGCGAAAUUCCUAGUGUAGCGGUGAAAUGCGUAGAUAUUAGGAGGAACACCAGUGGCGAAGGCGGCUUUCUGGACCGUAACUGACGUUGAGGCACGAAAGUGUGGGGAGCAAACAGGAUUAGAUACCCUGGUAGUCCACACCGUAAACGAUGGAUACUAGGUGUAGGGAGGGUUAAACCUUUCUGUGCCGUCGUAAACACAAUAAGUAUCCCACCUGAGUAGUACGACCGCAAGGUUACAACUCAAAUGAAUUGACGGA
Molecule: ribosomal RNA, 915 nt
Filed under: uncultured Bacillota bacterium
Lineage: Bacteria; Bacillati; Bacillota
Description: bacterial SSU rRNA
Rfam family: Bacterial small subunit ribosomal RNA
Source: RNAcentral